Molecule: ribosomal RNA, 402 nt
Filed under: uncultured bacterium
Lineage: Bacteria
Description: bacterial SSU rRNA
Rfam family: Bacterial small subunit ribosomal RNA
Source: RNAcentral
UGGGGAAUAUUGGACAAUGGGCGAAAGCCUGAUCCAGCCAUGCCGCGUGAGUGAUGAAGGGCCCUAGGGUUGUAAAGCUCUUUCAACGGUGAAGAUAAUGACGGUAACCGUAGAAGAAGCCCCGGCUAACUUCGUGCCAGCAGCCGCGGUAAUACGAAGGGGGCUAGCGUUGUUCGGAAUUACUGGGCGUAAAGCGCACGUAGGCGGAUAUUUAAGUCAGGGGUGAAAUCCCGGGGCUCAACCCCGGAACUGCCUUUGAUACUGGGUAUCUUGAGUUCGAGAGAGGUGAGUGGAAUUCCGAGUGUAGAGGUGAAAUUCGUAGAUAUUCGGAGGAACACCAGUGGCGAAGGCGGCUCACUGGCUCGAUGCUGACGCUGAGGUGCGAAAGCGUGGGGAGCAAAC